AGGCAGAUGAUGAUUUAUUAUUAUUUCGGCUGAUUAAACUUUGAUGAUCCAAAAUUCGAGCUUUUUAAAACUGAUGCCUU
Molecule: non-coding RNA, 80 nt
Organism: Solanum lycopersicum (tomato)
Lineage: Eukaryota; Viridiplantae; Streptophyta; Magnoliopsida; Solanales; Solanaceae
Source: Rfam